GCCGGGCGCAGUGGCGCGUGCCUGUAGUCCCAGCUAGUUGGGAGGCUGAGGUGGGAGGAUUGCUUGAGCCCAGGAGUUCUGGGCUGUCUGCACUAAGCCCAGAACUCCUGCACUAAGUUCAGCAUCAAUAUGGUGACCUCCAGGGAGUAGAGGACCACCAGGUUGCUUAAGGAGGGGUGAACUGGCCCAGGUUGGAAACGGAGCAGGUCAAAACUCCCGUGCUGAUCAGUAGUGGGAUCAUGCCUGUGAAUAACCAUUGCACUCCAGCCUGAGUAACACAGUGAGGCCCCAUCUCUA
Molecule: signal recognition particle RNA, 297 nt
Filed under: Callithrix jacchus (white-tufted-ear marmoset)
Lineage: Eukaryota; Metazoa; Chordata; Mammalia; Primates; Cebidae
Description: Metazoan signal recognition particle RNA (ENSCJAG00000039257.3)
Rfam family: Metazoan signal recognition particle RNA
About the family: The signal recognition particle (SRP) is a universally conserved ribonucleoprotein.
Source: Rfam by way of RNAcentral